AGUAUUAUGUCUGAAAAAGAAGUAAAUUGUAAAUUUAUUAAUGAAAAUUUAAAGUUUUUCUAAUACUA
RNAcentral lists this transfer RNA (68 nucleotides) under Bombus breviceps. RNAcentral describes it as "tRNA-Tyr". Lineage: Eukaryota; Metazoa; Arthropoda; Insecta; Hymenoptera; Apidae. The record is from RNAcentral.